UACGUAGGGUGCAAGCGUUGUCCGGAUUUAUUGGGCGUAAAGAGCUCGUAGGCGGUCUGUCGCGUCGGAUGUGAAAACCCAGGGCUCAACCCUGGGCCUGCAUUCGAUACGGGCAGACUAGAGUAUGGCAGGGGAGACUGGAAUUCCUGGUGUAGCGGUGAAAUGCGCAGAUAUCAGGAGGAACACCGGUGGCGAAGGCGGGUCUCUGGGCCGAUACUGACACUGAGGAGCGAAAGCGUGGGGAGCGAACAGG
Molecule: ribosomal RNA, 253 nt
Filed under: uncultured bacterium
Lineage: Bacteria
Description: partial 16S ribosomal RNA
Rfam family: Bacterial small subunit ribosomal RNA
Source: RNAcentral